RNAcentral lists this ribosomal RNA (253 nucleotides) under uncultured bacterium. RNAcentral's name for it is "partial 16S ribosomal RNA". It matches the Rfam family "Bacterial small subunit ribosomal RNA", at positions 524 to 776 of the family's 1533-position model. The record is from RNAcentral.
UACAGAGGGGGCAAGCGUUGUUCGGAAUUACUGGGCGUAAAGGGCGCGUAGGCGGCCUUCUAAGUCGAACGUGAAAUCCCUGGGCUCAACCCAGGAACUGCGUCCGAUACUGGAAGGCUUGAAUCCGGGAGAGGGAUGCGGAAUUCCAGGUGUAGCGGUGAAAUGCGUAGAUAUCUGGAGGAACACCGGUGGUGAAGACGGCCACCUGGGCUGGACCUGACACUGAGGUGCGACAGCGUGGGGAGCGAACCGG